GCUCAGAACGAACGCUGGCGGCGUGCCUAACACAUGCAAGUCGAGCGAGAAAGCCCGCAAGGGUGAGUAAAGCGGCGCACGGGUGAGUAACACGUGGGUAACCUGCCCUAGAGUCCGGAAUAACUCGCCGAAAGGCGUGCUAAUGCCGGAUGAGACCACGGGAGCCUCGGCUCCUGCGGGAAAAGGUGGCCUCUGUACACAAGCUAUCGCUCUAGGAUGAGCCCGCGGCCCAUCAGCUCGUUGGCGGGGUAAUGGCCCACCAAGGCUACGACGGGUAGCUGGUCUGAGAGGACGAUCAGCCACACUGGAACUGAGACACGGUCCAGACUCCUACGGGAGGCAGCAGUGGGGAAUCUUGCGCAAUGGGCGAAAGCCUGACGCAGCAACGCCGCGUGUGUGAUGAAGGUCUUCGGAUCGUAAAGCACUGUCGCGAGGGACGAAUAAGGGGCGGGCUAACAUCCCGUUCCGAUGACGGUACCUCGAGAGGAAGCACCGGCUAACUCUGUGCCAGCAGCCGCGGUAAUACAGAGGGUGCAAGCGUUGUUCGGAAUUAUUGGGCGUAAAGCGCGUGUAGGCGGCCUUGCAAGUUGGGUGUGAAAGCCCUCGGCUUAACCGAGGAAGUGCGCCCAAAACUACGAGGCUUGAGUGCCGGAGAGGGUGGCGGAAUUCCCGGUGUAGAGGUGAAAUUCGUAGAUAUCGGGAGGAACACCAGUGGCGAAGGCGGCCACCUGGACGGUAACUGACGCUGAGACGCGAAAGCGUGGGGAGCAAACAGGAUUAGAUACCCUGGUAGUCCACGCUGUAAACGAUGAGCGCUAGGUGUUGUGGGUGUUGACCCCCGCAGUGCCGCAGCUAACGCAUUAAGCGCUCCGCCUGGGAAGUACGGCCCGCAGGGCUAAACUC
Molecule: ribosomal RNA, 903 nt
Filed under: uncultured bacterium
Lineage: Bacteria
Description: bacterial SSU rRNA
Rfam family: Bacterial small subunit ribosomal RNA
Source: RNAcentral